RNAcentral lists this ribosomal RNA (497 nucleotides) under uncultured bacterium. RNAcentral describes it as "partial 16S ribosomal RNA". It matches the Rfam family "Bacterial small subunit ribosomal RNA", at positions 28 to 507 of the family's 1533-position model. The record is from RNAcentral.
GAUGAACGCUGGCGGCGUGCCUAAUACAUGCCAGUCGAGCGAACGGACGAGAAGCUUGCUUCUCUGAUGUUAGCAGCGGACGGGUGAGUAACACGUGGAUAACCUACCUAUAAGACUGGGAUAACUUCGGGAAACCGUAGCUAAUACCGGAUAAUAUUUUGAACCGCAUGGUUCAAAAGUGAAAGACGGUCUUGCUGUCACUUAUAGAUGGAUCCGCGCUGCAUUAGCUAGUUGGUAAGGUAACGGCUUACCAAGGCAACGAUGCAUAGCCGACCUGAGAGGGUGAUCGGCCACACUGGAACUGAGACACGGUCCAGACUCCUACGGGAGGCAGCAGUAGGGAAUCUUCCGCAAUGGGCGAAAGCCUGACGGAGCAACGCCGCGUGAGUGAUGAAGGUCUUCGGAUCGUAAAACUCUGUUAUUAGGGAAGAACAUAUGUGUAAGUAACUGUGCACAUCUUGACGGUACCUAAUCAGAAAGCCACGGCUAACUACGUG